This 253-nucleotide unclassified non-coding RNA is filed under the name Ascomycota sp. RNAcentral's name for it is "partial contains small subunit ribosomal RNA, internal transcribed spacer 1, and 5.8S ribosomal RNA". The stretch from base 1 to 47 matches the Rfam family "Eukaryotic small subunit ribosomal RNA", at positions 1785 to 1831 of the family's 1831-position model. Lineage: Eukaryota; Fungi; Ascomycota. The record is from RNAcentral.
AAAGUCGUAACAAGGUUUCCGUAGGUGAACCUGCGGAAGGAUCAUUACAAAUCCACAAGUCACCCUCACCGGUCGACAACGUUGAACACCCACCCCCGCUUGAGGGGGGGGAGGAGGGAGGUUCCUCACAGAGGACCCCCCUUCCCCCGCCCGACGGCACCCUAUUUGACCCCAGGCUGACACACAUUACCACGAUUGUACCAACAAACAAACAACCUAGAAACAACUUAUAACAAUGGAUCUCUAGGCUCUU